AUGAACGCUGGCGGCGUGCCUAAUACAUGCCAGUCGAGCGCACAGACGAGGAGCUUGCUCCUCUGACGUUAGCGGCGGACGGGUGAGUAACACGUGGAUAACCUACCUAUAAGACUGGGAUAACUUCGGGAAACCGGAGCUAAUACCGGAUAAUAUAUUGAACCGCAUGGUUCAAUAGUGAAAGACGGUUUUGCUGUCACUUAUAGAUGGAUCCGCGCCGCAUUAGCUAGUUGGUAAGGUAACGGCUUACCAAGGCAACGAUGCGUAGCCGACCUGAGAGGGUGAUCGGCCACACUGGAACUGAGACACGGUCCAGACUCCUACGGGAGGCAGCAGUAGGGAAUCUUCCGCAAUGGGCGAAAGCUUGACGGAGCAACGCCGCGUGAGUGAUGAAGGUCUUCGGAUCGUAAAACUCUGUUAUUAGGGAAGAACAAAUGUGUAAGUAACUAUGCACGUCUUGACGGUACCUAAUCAGAAAGCCACGGCUAACUACGUG
RNAcentral lists this ribosomal RNA (496 nucleotides) under uncultured bacterium. Its description in RNAcentral is "partial 16S ribosomal RNA". It matches the Rfam family "Bacterial small subunit ribosomal RNA", at positions 29 to 507 of the family's 1533-position model. The record is from RNAcentral.